RNAcentral lists this transfer RNA (96 nucleotides) under Microlunatus kandeliicorticis. RNAcentral's name for it is "Friedmanniella endophytica tRNA-Sec". It matches the Rfam family "Selenocysteine transfer RNA". The record is from RNAcentral. Lineage: Bacteria; Bacillati; Actinomycetota; Actinomycetes; Propionibacteriales; Propionibacteriaceae.
GGAGGCGUAUAGGUGCCUGGUGGCCCUCCCGGUCUUCAACACCGGCGGAGCCGAGGAUCUCGGCUCGGCGGGUUCGAUUCCCGUCCGCCUCCGCCA